Molecule: unclassified non-coding RNA, 281 nt
Filed under: Microglossum sp.
Lineage: Eukaryota; Fungi; Ascomycota; Leotiomycetes; Helotiales
Description: partial contains 5.8S ribosomal RNA, internal transcribed spacer 2, and large subunit ribosomal RNA
Rfam family: 5.8S ribosomal RNA (bases 1-71)
Source: RNAcentral
GUGAGUCAUCGAAUCUUUGAACGCACAUUGCACCCUCUGGUAUUCCGGAGGGUAUGCCUGUUCGAGCGUCAUUACAGCCCUCAAGCACUCUGCUUGGAGUUGAGCGCUGCCGGCUGACGGCGCGCUUUAAAAUCAGUGGCGGUGCUAGACAGCUUCGAGCGUAGUAAUCUCUCUCGCUUUAGGAGCUUGAACGGAGCCUGCCAGAAGCGAUUAUAUCGAAAGGUUGACCUCGGAUCAGGUAGGGAUACCCGCUGAACUUAAGCAUAUCAAUAAGCGGAGGA